GUAGCAAUACUUAGUGGCAGACGGGUGAGUAACAUGUAGGUAUCUGCCCUUUGGCCUGGAAUAACACGAGGAAACUUGUGCUAAUACUGGAUAAGUCUUUACGGAGAAAGCUUUAUGCACCAUUGGAUGAGCCUGCACUUGAUUAGUUUGUUGGUGGGGUAAUGGCCUACCAAGACUGUGAUCAAUAGCUGAUUUGAGAGGAUGAUCAGCCACAUUGGGACUGAGACACGGCCCAAACUCCUACGGGAGGCAGCAGUGGGGAAUCUUGCACAAUGGAGGAAACUCUGAUGCAGCGAUGCCGCGUGAGUGAAGAAGGCCCUUGGGUUGUAAAGCUCUUUCGUCGGGGAAGAAAAUGACUGUACCCGAAUAAGAAGGUCCGGCUAACUUCGUGCCAGCAGCCGCGGUAAUACGAAGGGACCUAGCGUAGUUCGGAAUUACUGGGCUUAAAGAGUUCGUAGGUGGUUGAAAAAGUUGGUGGUGAAAUCCCAGAGCUUAACUCUGGAACUGCCAUCAAAACUUUUCAGCUAGAGUAUGAUAGAGGAAAGCAGAAUUUCUAGUGUAGAGGUGAAAUUCGUAGAUAUUAGAAAGAAUACCAAUUGCGAAGGCAGCUUUCUGGAUCAUUACUGACACUGAGGAACGAAAGCAUGGGUAGCGAAGAGGAUUAGAUACCCUCGUAGUCCAUGCCGUAAACGAUGUGUGUUAGACGUUGGAAAUUUAUUUUCAGUGUCGCAGCGAAAGCGAUAAACACACCGCCUGGGGAGUACGAC
Molecule: ribosomal RNA, 767 nt
Filed under: uncultured Pelagibacteraceae bacterium
Lineage: Bacteria; Pseudomonadati; Pseudomonadota; Alphaproteobacteria; Candidatus Pelagibacterales; Candidatus Pelagibacteraceae
Description: bacterial SSU rRNA
Rfam family: Bacterial small subunit ribosomal RNA
Source: RNAcentral